CUGCUAUCGGUGUUCGCCUAAGCCAUGCGAGUCAUAUGUAGCAAUACAUGGCGUACUGCUCAGUAACACGUGGAUAACCUGCCCUUGGGACCGGCAUAACCCCGGGAAACUGGGGAUAAUUCCGGAUAACGCAUAUUUGCUGGAAUGCUUUAUGCGUCAAAAGGAUUCGUCUGCCCAAGGAUGGGUCUGCGGCCUAUCAGGUAGUAGUGGGUGUAAUGUACCUACUAGCCAGCGACGGGUACGGGUUGUGAGAGCAAGAGCCCGGAGAUGGAUUCUGAGACAUGAAUCCAGGCCCUACGGGGCGCAGCAGGCGCGAAAACUUUACAAUGCGGGAAACCGUGAUAAGGGGACACCGAGUGCCAGCAUCAUAUGCUGGCUGUCCGGAUGUGUAAAAUACAUCCGUUAGCAAGGGCCGGGCAAGACCGGUGCCAGCCGCCGCGGUAACACCGGCGGCCCGAGUGGUGAUCGUGAUUGUUGGGUCUAAAGGGUCCGUAGCCGGUUUGG
RNAcentral lists this ribosomal RNA (504 nucleotides) under methanogenic archaeon U3/B-1. RNAcentral's name for it is "bacterial SSU rRNA". It matches the Rfam family "Archaeal small subunit ribosomal RNA", at positions 27 to 533 of the family's 1478-position model. The record is from RNAcentral. Lineage: Archaea; Methanobacteriati; Methanobacteriota.